GAAGCACCAGCUUGCUGGUGUGGAUGAGUGGCGAACGGGUGAGUAAUACGUGAGUAACCUGCCCUUGACUCUGGGAUAAGCCCGGGAAACUGGGUCUAAUACUGGAUGCUACAUGUCACCGCAUGGUGGUGUGUGGAAAGGGUUUACUGGUCUUGGAUGGGCUCACGGCCUAUCAGCUUGUUGGUGAGGUAAUGGCUCACCAAGGCGACGACGGGUAGCCGGCCUGAGAGGGUGACCGGCCACACUGGGACUGAGACACGGCCCAGACUCCUACGGGAGGCAGCAGUGGGGAAUAUUGCACAAUGGGCGAAAGCCUGAUGCAGCGACGCCGCGUGAGGGAUGACGGCCUUCGGGUUGUAAACCUCUUUCAGCAGGGAAGAAGCCACAAGUGACGGUACCUGCAGAAGAAGCGCCGGCUAACUACGUGCCAGCAGCCGCGGUAAUACGUAGGGCGCAAGCGUUGUCCGGAAUUAUUGGGCGUAAAGAGCUCGUAGGCGGUUUGUCGCGUCUGCUGUGAAAGCCCGGGGCUUAACCCCGGGUGUGCAGUGGGUACGGGCAGACUAGAGUGCAGUAGGGGAGACUGGAAUUCCUGGUGUAGCG
This 600-nucleotide ribosomal RNA is filed under the name Kocuria sp. India-BSP-30. RNAcentral's name for it is "bacterial SSU rRNA". It matches the Rfam family "Bacterial small subunit ribosomal RNA", at positions 69 to 680 of the family's 1533-position model. Lineage: Bacteria; Bacillati; Actinomycetota; Actinomycetes; Micrococcales; Micrococcaceae. The record is from RNAcentral.